UCAAAUCAUAGAUAAUUUAGGCUGAAAAAUCUUUUGUAGGUGGUUCAAUCCCCUUCUCAACACAGGUCUCAUUACUUCAGGUCGCUCGUGCUGUGUCCCGUUCAGUUGAACCCUCCAAAGAUGGAGAUUCUGCAAGUUCUGCUGAGUGCUGAUUGCUGCAAUGCAUUGUAUGAAGAUACGUGGUAACAAGAAGAUAUUUACUGAGAAUAAAGAUCCCAGUUGACACUCUUCACAAUCCCACACUUGGACUGACCCUGUUCCAGCUUGGUUAACCCAGGAAAGCUGCACCCAGUUGUCUUAGGAGUUAAUCUGUAGCUUUGCUGCAAGGGACUGGCUCAGAAGUUACCACACGGAGCGCAGGAGUCAGAGCUGCCAUGGCACCUUAAUGGAAAUAAACGACUCCGCAGAGCCGGCAGCGGGAGGUGGGAGUGGGAAGCAUCCUCAUCCCAGCCCCAGCGGCCGCGUAAAU
Molecule: long non-coding RNA, 469 nt
Organism: Vidua chalybeata
Lineage: Eukaryota; Metazoa; Chordata; Aves; Passeriformes; Viduidae
Exons: 3
Source: RefSeq, a predicted model, not a curated record